Molecule: long non-coding RNA, 355 nt
Organism: Myotis myotis
Lineage: Eukaryota; Metazoa; Chordata; Mammalia; Chiroptera; Vespertilionidae
Exons: 3
Source: RefSeq, a predicted model, not a curated record
CAGCAUGCUCCCCGCCGCUCCUGGACACCUGCUCCUGGCCUGCAGCCUCCUCCUGGCGCCCUUCCUUGCAGUCUCCUGGGAGAUUAAGAUGAAUGACCUGGAGGAGAAAGAUGUGGAUGAAUUCACCUCCAAUGGCUUUAAGUGCCCGACCUGCUUCGCAGUGAUGGGAAGGAAGUGCAACAGUAAGCUCAAGUGGUGCGCAGCAGACAAACUGAAAUGCGUUGAAUUCUCUGGCAUCGUAAACACAGGUCUUAAAGACAUCGCUGUUGAAAUGAAGAAGUGCAUACGAGCAGACCUUUGUAAAGAGACAAUAACUUACAUGGGUUUUCCAAUUGCUAACGGGAGUAAAAGUUGC